Non-coding RNA from Testicularia cyperi, 100 nucleotides. The record is from the annotation of a GenBank genome assembly. Lineage: Eukaryota; Fungi; Basidiomycota; Ustilaginomycetes; Ustilaginales; Anthracoideaceae.
UCCUGGUUAGUACAAUGGUUAGUAUAGGACACUCUCAUGACUUGCUUCUUCAUCAGAAGCGUGAUCUGUUCAGAUCGGGGUUCGAUUCCCCGGCCGGGAA